AUUGGCUUGUGGUGGCGCGUUGGAUCCCUGCUCAGGCAGCGACAAUGUCCCACGCAUGCCUCUUCAGUUGUUGGCUCGAGCACGUAUCGUCCGUUGUCGGUUUCUUGUGCUGAAUACCUACUGGGAAGGCAUUCUUCGGUUGCUAGUGAUAAGCUUUCGCCUUGUGCCGCGCCCCUCGUGGAUGCGGCGCAGGGUGGACCUCAAGACACGCUUCGUGUCCCAAGUCCCCUGCACGUCUUCGUGCUCGGGUCGUUGGCCCAUGUUGUCGUGCGUGGACUCUCGGAUAUGGAACAUUGUGCGGGUACGAGGCCUCGGCCUCUAUCUUGCCCAAACAACAAGCGUUCUACGCUUCGUGCGAACGACUGCCGCAUGCGUGUUGAUUGUCCCUCGUGGCUUAACUCAUGCGCCUGCGGUGUCCGUUGGGAA
RNAcentral lists this unclassified non-coding RNA (426 nucleotides) under Orthocarpus luteus. Its description in RNAcentral is "partial external transcribed spacer". Lineage: Eukaryota; Viridiplantae; Streptophyta; Magnoliopsida; Lamiales; Orobanchaceae. The record is from RNAcentral.